GCAUUUAGAAAAUGUAUGAUUCACUCAAUGAGGAAACUAAAAAAUACAAAACAAAAUAAUAAGAUGUAAACAAAAUGCAGAUCACAGCAAGAUCUUUGAUGGUGAAACAAGAAUCUGUCCAAAGUACAUGGAUGCCCCACUCGCACUAUCCUUUUCCAUGUUCCAUGGACCGUGAAAUUGGGUAAUUAUCUAAUUUGGCAUUAAAAUUAGAAAGAUCAUAUCAUAAGCAACCAGGUGCUCCGCAGGGCGCAGCUUUAUACGACCGCAGAGGUCGAACCCUAAACAGUUGGGGCAAGUAUGGACAAAACAUUCAAGCGUGAUACAGCUCUGAAUUUGGAUUGUGAUCAAAUUUUUGACAUUACAUGGUUUUUUUUACACAAAACAAAUGUCAAGAUUUUACAAAUCAAUACUCUAGUUCAGGGAAGCAAUGCGCAUGUGCAAGAUCGAUCGUGAUUUUGCGUUAUCGACUAAUUAGAUACGAGAUUUGAUAAACUGGGGGCAUUAUCAGUUUAUUGAUUUACCAAAUCGGCAUCGUUAUUACUGUAGUCAUAUGCAUAAUUUAUUUUCACAUGCUAUGGCAAACGAAAAUAUAUACAACAU
Molecule: long non-coding RNA, 600 nt
Filed under: Mytilus galloprovincialis (Mediterranean mussel)
Lineage: Eukaryota; Metazoa; Mollusca; Bivalvia; Mytilida; Mytilidae
Source: RNAcentral